Molecule: ribosomal RNA, 497 nt
Filed under: uncultured bacterium
Lineage: Bacteria
Description: partial 16S ribosomal RNA
Rfam family: Bacterial small subunit ribosomal RNA
Source: RNAcentral
GAUGAACGCUGGCGGCGUGCCUAAUACAUGCAAGUCGAGCGAACAGAUGAGGAGCUUGCUUCUCUGACGUUAGCGGCGGACGGGUGAGUAACACGUGGAUAACCUACCUAUAAGACUGGGAUAACUUCGGGAAACCGGAGCUAAUACCGGAUAAUAUUUUGAACCGCAUGGUUCAAUAGUGAAAGACGGUUUUGCUGUCACUUAUAGAUGGAUCCGCGCCGCAUUAGCUAGUUGGUAAGGUAACGGCUUACCAAGGCAACGAUGCGUAGCCGACCUGAGAGGGUGAUCGGCCACACUGGAACUGAGACACGGUCCAGACUCCUACGGGAGGCAGCAGUAGGGAAUCUUCCGCAAUGGGCGAAAGCCUGACGGAGCAACGCCGCGUGAGUGAUGAAGGUCUUCGGAUCGUAAAACUCUGUUAUUAGGGAAGAACAAAUGUGUAAGUAACUGUGCACGUCUUGACGGUACCUAAUCAGAAAGCCACGGCUAACUACGUG